UUUACAGCAAAACCAACUUCGGGAGGGCUAGAGUAUAAGGAGAAAUGUAAAAGGUCCCCGAUCAAAGAGAAGCUGGGUUCGAGUUGCCGCAACAAAAGGUGCUGGUGGGUGGUAGAAGAUCAGCCAGGGGAUCCGACUUAAAGAAGCCGGAGGUGGGAGCUGUAAACACAAAGGAGCUGAUGCAGCAUGAGAAGGCGGAUCUCUUUGUUUCUCAAGAACAUCAAAUACAACAGCCUAUAAAGGAAUCUACUGACAAUCAAUCAAAGGUUGGUUGGCAGCCCUCACCCCUUGGAGUUUGCAAACUGAAUUUUAAUGGAGCGGUAACUCCAAGGGUGCAACGGCAGUUUUUAUUCUUAGGGAUCACAAUGGUAAAGUUAUUCAGACUGCAGGUAAGACUUUAGCGCACUGCCCUGUGCCCAUUGUAGAAUUAAUAGGGGCUUGGAUGGGUAUUCAAGUGGCUAUUAUCAAACUUAAUCUUCAUAAUCUCUAGAUUAAUUGAAGGGGAUUCGCAAGUCGUAAUUCAAUGGAUCUCUCGGACCCAUCCUUUUGAGCCUGACUUAUUACCUUUACUUCGUGAUAUUCUCUAUUGGAAACAACAUUUUAACUUAUGGACCAUUACAAAUGUAUAUAGAGAGGCUAAUCAGAUUGCUAAUUGGCUUGCUAGUUGUGCUUUGAAUCACUCUUUCCAAUUUAACAAAGAUGAUGAAUUGCCUA
This is a long non-coding RNA of Elaeis guineensis (African oil palm), 714 nucleotides long. RefSeq lists it as uncharacterized. The record is from RefSeq and is a predicted model, not a curated record. NCBI's taxonomy places the organism in Eukaryota, Viridiplantae, Streptophyta, Magnoliopsida, Arecales, Arecaceae.